GGUAGUGCCCGGGUCCUCACAGGUUUUAUACUCCACACCUACAUCAGAGAAGCAAGCUUAUGAGGAAAAGGAAAAGCAGGCAGCACGGGAAUACAGUCUAGGGGGAAGCCUUGCAACCCUGGGAAUAGCACAUGUCCCACACCAGCAAUCUGUAGAGAGACAUGAGGCCUCUCUGCAAGCUGCUCUUGCUCUGUAUCUUUCUUUUUAGGAGUAUCUGCAGAUUUGUACUACUAACCUACCUAGCCUCUGGGCAAGCUACGUGAUAGAAUAGGAAGGGAAUCCCUGCAUUUCGUCAUGUGGAAGUGGUUUAUAGGAGAGAAUUGGACUUCCCAAGUCCAAGCCCUCCCCCAGGACAGUUGGCGCAGCAAAAAUCCUUUGAAUAAAUGUCUCCCUUUUGGGUUGCUGCAUUCACACACACUAUUUUUUUACUAGACAUGAAAUAUUUGUCAUUGUUAAGAAGGCAUGGCAUUUAGUUUAUAAGCAUGUUCUCCUGGACAAUCCCAAAAGGGAAGUAUUGCUUCUUGAAAUGUUGUAAAGGAAAAUGCUUCCAGGAGUUGGCCUUUGAACUAAGUUUCUGCUUCAUUUAACCACUGGAUUUGACAGCAGUGGAGCUCCUAAUUUCUUUACAGAAUGAAACACUUUCAUUUCUGAUCAACAUAGGCUACGUGUAUUUGCAACACUGCAGGACAGUCCAUGGAAGAGCUGCUGAUAUUACAUGAGAUCUAAAUAAGCUGAGUACAGUAUGGAUUUCUGGGGACAACUGCAGAUCAUGGUCUAAUUAGGCAGAACACAAUGGGAAUAUUGAACAGCUGUUGUUACUGUGGAUGCAGCUAUAACCUCAACAAGCAGAACAGAAAAUACCAACCCCUCAAGCCUCAGGAAUGUUUCUUACCGGCAUCUGCAAUCCAAAAUGGAUGAGGGCAACCUGAGGCCAGCUCCGAGCCACCCCAGUGGAUCGGGCAUUUUCCACAGGGGUAGCACUUCAGUUAGCCAGAACUCUGCUUUUUGCAGCUGGAGAUGGAAUCGGGGCACGUGUGAGUACAAACGAUGCUGAGUUCACACACCUGAAGAAUGAAUUAACCUGCUAAAAUUUCCCAUGGGGCAGGUAGGGUGCAAGCUGAGAUGUGCCCAUGUAAGUUUGCUUUUAUGUGUGGCUCCUUCUCCGACACAGAUACCUAAAGGGUUGCAAGACUAGGCCACGCUCGAGGCCCGCCGGCUCUAUGCUGUUUGCAUUGAGCCCCUCCAUGAAGCUCAGCUGAUGUGUUUUAACAAAGACUUGGAGUCAUU
This 1287-nucleotide long non-coding RNA is filed under the name Anser brachyrhynchus (Pink-footed goose). RNAcentral describes it as "lncRNA (ENSABRG00000019867.1)". Lineage: Eukaryota; Metazoa; Chordata; Aves; Anseriformes; Anatidae. The record is from RNAcentral.